This 386-nucleotide ribosomal RNA is filed under the name uncultured eukaryote. RNAcentral's name for it is "partial 18S ribosomal RNA". It matches the Rfam family "Eukaryotic small subunit ribosomal RNA", at positions 592 to 976 of the family's 1831-position model. The record is from RNAcentral.
CAGUAGCGUAUAUUAACGUUGUUGCAGUUAAAAGGCUCGUAGUCGAAUUUAUGAUUUUUGUUGGGUGAAACUUUUACCUUGCGCAACUGUAUUUGCCUUUGAAAUCAUCCUUCUGGAAGAAUAUUGAUUCCCUUGAUUGGGCUGUUGAUAGGAUCCAGAUCAUUUACUGUGAGUAAAUCAGAGUGUUCAAAGCAGGCAUUUUGCUUGUAUGCUGUAGCAUGGAAUAAUAAGAUAGGACUUUGGUUUUAUUUUGUUGGCUUCUAGAAUCAGAGUAAUGAUUGAGAGGGAUAGUUGGGGGUGCUAGUAUUUAACGGUCAGCGGUGAAAUGCUUGGACCCGUUAAAGACUAACUUAUGCGAAAGCAUUCACCAAGGAUAUUUUCUUUGA